AUGGCUGUCGUCAGCUCGUGUCGUGAGAUGUUGGGUUAAGUCCCGCAACGAGCGCAACCCUCAUCUUUAGUUGCCAUCAGGUUAAGCUGGGCACUCUAAAGAAACUGCCGGUGAUAAGCUGGAGGAAGGCGGGGAUGACGUCAAGUCCUCAUGGCCCUUACGGUCUGGGCUACACACGUGCUACAAUGGUGGUGACAGUGGGCAGCAAUGUCGCAAGACAAAGCUAAUCCCCAAAAGCCAUCUCAGUUCAGAUUGGACUCUGCAACUCGAGUCCAUGAAGUUGGAAUCGCUAGUAAUCGUAGAUCAGCAUGCUACGGUGAAUACGUUCUCGGGCCUUGUACACACCGCCCGUCACGCCAUGGGAGUUGGUUUUACCUUAAGCCGGUGCGCUAACCGCAAGGAAGCAACCGUCCACGGUAGGGUCAGCGACUGGGGCGAAGUCGUAACAAGGUAACCGUAGGGGAACCUGCGGUUGGAUCACCUCCUUUCUAAGGAUAUUGAUGAUUGGUUCGCUAGUCAUCCGGGUUGUUGUCUAUGUAUCUCUUUAUCAUAUUAGCUAGUGCUAGGUGUUACCUGAUUUAAACUGGGCUAGUAGCUCAGUUGGUUAGAGCGCGCGCUUGAUAAGCGUGAGGUCGGAGGUUCAAAUCCUCCCUGGCCCACCAUUUAUUACGGGGGGAUUAGCUCAGCUGGGAGAGCGCCUGAUUUGCAUUCAGGAGGUCAGCGGUUCGAUCCCGCUAUCCUCCACCAUUAACUAGUUAAUUGUCUUGUUUGUUCUUUAAAAUGUAAAUAUGAAACUAAUAACUGAUCAAAUAAAUUAUUUUGAAUAAUUUAAAAAUUUUAAAUGAUUAAAAAUACGUACAUAAAAUUUUUCUCUGUACGUAAUUGCAAUCAAGCGCAAAAGGGCAUUUAGUGGAUGCCUUGGCAUCAAGAGACGAUGAAGGACGCGGCAGGCUGCGAUAAUCUAAGGGGAGUUGUCAACACACUUUGAUCCUUAGGUCUCCGAAUGGGGAAACCCGG
RNAcentral lists this small RNA (1017 nucleotides) under uncultured bacterium. RNAcentral's name for it is "bacterial SSU rRNA". The stretch from base 1 to 488 matches the Rfam family "Bacterial small subunit ribosomal RNA", at positions 1045 to 1533 of the family's 1533-position model. The record is from RNAcentral.